RNAcentral lists this ribosomal RNA (342 nucleotides) under uncultured bacterium. RNAcentral describes it as "bacterial SSU rRNA". It matches the Rfam family "Bacterial small subunit ribosomal RNA", at positions 458 to 793 of the family's 1533-position model. The record is from RNAcentral.
ACCUGCAUUAUUUGACGUUACCUACAGAAGAAGCACCGGCUAACUCCGUGCCAGCAGCCGCGGUAAUACGGAGGGUGCGAGCGUUAAUCGGAAUUACUGGGCGUAAAAGCGCAUGCAGGUGGUUUGUUAAGUCAGAUGUGAAAAGCCCGGGCUCAAACCUCGGAAAUAGCAUUUGAAAACUGGCAGACUAGAGUACUGUAGGAGGGGGUAGAAUUUCAGGUGUAGCGGUGAAAAUGCGUAGAGAUCUGAAGGAAUACCGGUGGCGAAGGCCGGCCCCUGGACAGAUACUGACACUCAGAUGACGAAAGCGUGGGGAGCAAACAGGAUUAGAUACCCUGGUAG